This 65-nucleotide transfer RNA is filed under the name Epicypta sp. WQY003. Its description in RNAcentral is "tRNA-Asn". The record is from RNAcentral. Lineage: Eukaryota; Metazoa; Arthropoda; Insecta; Diptera; Mycetophilidae.
UUAAUUGAAACCAAAAAGAGGUAUAUUACUGUUAAUAAUAAAAUUGAAUUUUUAUUCCAAUUAAA